This 274-nucleotide ribosomal RNA is filed under the name uncultured bacterium. RNAcentral's name for it is "partial 16S ribosomal RNA". It matches the Rfam family "Bacterial small subunit ribosomal RNA", at positions 523 to 796 of the family's 1533-position model. The record is from RNAcentral.
CUACGAAGGGGGCUAGCGUUGUUCGGAAUUACUGGGCGUAAAGCGCGCGUAGGCGGAUUGGUCAGUUAGGGGUGAAAUCCCAGGGCUUAACCCUGGAACUGCCUCUAAUACUGCCAGUCUUGAGUUCGGGAGAGGUGAGUGGAAUUCCUAGUGUAGAGGUGAAAUUCGUAGAUAUUAGGAAGAACACCGGUGGCGAAGGCGGCUCACUGGCCCGAUACUGACGCUGAGGCGCGAAAGCGUGGGGAGCAAACAGGAUUAGAAACCCCAGUAGUCC